Molecule: ribosomal RNA, 770 nt
Filed under: Erysiphe adunca
Lineage: Eukaryota; Fungi; Ascomycota; Leotiomycetes; Helotiales; Erysiphaceae
Description: eukaryotic LSU rRNA
Rfam family: Eukaryotic large subunit ribosomal RNA
Source: RNAcentral
UUGACCUCGAAUCAGGUAGGGAUACCCGCUGAACUUAAGCAUAUCAAUAAGCGGAGGAAAAGAAACCAACCGGGAUUACCUCAGUAACGGCGAGUGAAGCGGUAACAGCUCAAAUUUGAAAUCUGGCUCCUUCGGAGUCCGAGUUGUAAUUUGUAGAAGCAGCUUUGGGUUGUGGGACCGGCCUAAGUUCCUUGGAACAGGACGUCAUAGAGGGUGAGAAUCCCGUAUGUGGCCGAGGCCUGCACCCGUGUAAAGCUCUUUCGACGAGUCGAGUUGUUUGGGAAUGCAGCUCAAAAUGGGUGGUAAAUUUCAUCUAAAGCUAAAUAUAGGCCAGAGACCGAUAGCGCACAAGUAGAGUGAUCGAAAGAUGAAAAGCACUUUGGAAAGAGAGUUAAACAGUACGUGAAAUUGUUGAAAGGGAAGCGCUUGCAACCAGACUUGGACACCACUGAUCCGCGAGGGUUCUCUCUCGGGCACUCGGUGGGGUACAGGCCAGCAUCGGUUUGGAUGGUUGGAUAAAGGCCGAAGGAACGUAGCUCCUCUCGGGGAGUGUUAUAGCCUUCGGUGCAAUGCAGCCCAGCCGGACCGAGGACCGCGCCUUCGGGCUAGGAUGCUGGCGUAAUGGUUGUAAGCGACCCGUCUUGAAACACGGACCAAGGAGUCUAACAUCUAUGCGAGUGUUUGGGCGUAAAACCCAUACGCGGAAUGAAAGUGAACGUAGGUGAGAACCCCUCGGGGUGCAUCAUCGACCGAUCCUGAUGUCUUCGGAU